CGCCUGGGGAGUACGGGUGAGGUAACGGCUCACCAAGGCAUCGACGGGUAGCUGGUCUGAGAGGAUGAUCAGCCACACUGGGACUGAGACACGGCCCAGACUCCUACGGGAGGCAGCAGUAGGGAAUAUUGCACAAUGGGCGAAAGCCUGAUGCAGCAACGCCGCGUGCGGGAAGAAGGCCCUAGGGUUGUAAACCGCUUUCAGCAGGGAAGAAAAUGACGGUACCUGCAGAAGAGGGUGCGGCCAACUACGUGCCAGCAGCCGCGGUGACACGUAGGCACCAAGCGUUGUCCGGAUUUAUUGGGCGUAAAGAGCUCGUAGGCGGUUCAGUUAGUCGGGUGUGAAAACUCUGGGCUCAACCCAGAGACGCCACUCGAUACUGCUGUGACUAGAGUGCGGUAGGGGAGCGGGGAAUUCCUAGUGUAGCGGUGAAAUGCGCAGAUAUUAGGAGGAACACCAGUGGCGAAGGCGCCGCUCUGGGCCGUAACUGACGCUGAGGAGCGAAAGCGUGGGUAGCAAACAGGAUUAGAUACCCUGGUAGUCCACGCCGUAAACGUUGGGCACUAGGUGUGGGUCUCAACCAACGAGAUCCGCGCCGUCGCUAACGCAUUAAGUGCCCCGC
Molecule: ribosomal RNA, 622 nt
Filed under: uncultured Actinomycetes bacterium
Lineage: Bacteria; Bacillati; Actinomycetota; Actinomycetes
Description: bacterial SSU rRNA
Rfam family: Bacterial small subunit ribosomal RNA
Source: RNAcentral